CGAAGAGGGAGGAAGGAGCUAAGCUUGCCGCUGUGAGCGGUGAGCUUCUGAAGGGGAUCAUCUUGAAUUCAGAGUCAUCUUCAAUUUGGAUAAAUAAGUCACCUCUUUUCCAAGGUAAAGAGACCCAGAUGUGCUUCUUCUCCACACCUGUUGCACUAUGCACAGAAGACUCCAUGCAGGGACCCCAAAGGCUUCUUGCAGACCCACCAUCCUCCCCGCCCCCCCAGUCCUUCCAGCAACAGCAGGCUGCAGAUCCUGUCACCCAGCUUACCCAUGGAAAGGAUGAUGGGGAAAAGUCAUGGUAUGAUUAUUUUUGUUACAGUUGUUAAAACAAACGCUUAAAUAUAUCCCCUAGAAGACAAGGUUUCCUUCACAU
Molecule: long non-coding RNA, 376 nt
Organism: Hemicordylus capensis (graceful crag lizard)
Lineage: Eukaryota; Metazoa; Chordata; Lepidosauria; Squamata; Cordylidae
Exons: 3
Source: RefSeq, a predicted model, not a curated record